Non-coding RNA from Maylandia zebra (zebra mbuna), 301 nucleotides. The record is from RefSeq and is a predicted model, not a curated record. NCBI's taxonomy places the organism in Eukaryota, Metazoa, Chordata, Actinopteri, Cichliformes, Cichlidae.
UUUUACAGAGUCAUUCAGUACAAAAACACAGUGAAUUAGGAAGAUGUGGCACAUGAAUGUUUCUGUUUUUCAGGUGGAAGUUCUGAGCAUUUCUCCUCUCAAAAGAGACCGGAGCCCACCAGUGAAGAGAGUUCAGAUGUAGAUGAAGAGAGCAAGGAAGCAAGACUGGCUUUGAGGAAAAGGCGAAAAACCAAAGUGGCCAAAGCAAAGGAGAUCCCCCGUGCGAAGGUCAAGAGGCCAUGGAGUGAAGCAGAGAAGACGGCAGUGCAAAGACGGCUGGGAAUUAUGUAGGAAGCAGGAA